Dermacentor albipictus is the source of this 606-nucleotide long non-coding RNA. RefSeq lists it as uncharacterized. The record is from RefSeq and is a predicted model, not a curated record. NCBI's taxonomy places the organism in Eukaryota, Metazoa, Arthropoda, Arachnida, Ixodida, Ixodidae.
CAGCGAGCAGCAACGAAGGCCAUCGAAGUGAGAUCGUGUGUCAGCCAUCUCUCGUCGCCGUGAAAACACGACAGUCGUUCGUCAUUCCUUGGAUAUAACGAGAAAUCCUCCACGGCACCCGCUUUAUAUAACGCAAGAAGGCAGCUGCAAGGAUACGAGGAUGUGAAAGAGCCAGUGCAGCGUGACUUCAGGGACAUCCCAGGGCGUGUUUUUCUCAGCACCCAGUCAACUGCCAGAAGUGAUUCCAACACAGGCCACCAGUCGCACUCAGCUGUACCACUGCAGUACUGCGGAAAUUGCCUGCACCAGCGGCUUUGCAACAGCUGUUUCACAGCAUAUCGACGGUUCAAGUGGCUGUUGGACAAGCUGGCCCUUUUGACAUGGAGUGGCUCGUUGUUUUGCUACGAGCCUCAAUAAACGAAUGAAUAAUGAACCCUCCAACUUGCUUACCAUGCUACUUCCUAAAUGAGAACAUUAUCACUGGAGGCAUAGUUUCGAUUCAAGGAUAAAAUGUCAAAAAUGUUGGAGUGGCUGCACUUAGCAAAAAAGCUUAUUUACAAAAUGUGUGAUCGUGAAAUGGUCUUUCCUGAUAUUGAUGACUACCUG